CUGAAUUAGUUUUUAGAGUGUAUGGCCUGUACUAUUCAGAGGCCCAUGAUGGGACUGGACGCACAUGAAUGCACGUUGCCCACACCGCUGGAAGACGAGCAGAGUGUGACAAGCAGAGAGCAGCACAGCGGGUUACUAUCAAGCUAGCAUGUUAAAAUUGGAUAGGUUUAAAAUGACUGACUUUAAUUCAGUAACGAACUGGCUUGCUAACUGUUAGCAACAGGUAGCGGCUGUGAUAACAGCUGCAGUAACAUUUAUAUUUUAAUAUAAGUACAUUAUUUCCUAAGGCUGGCUACUUGUGUUAUGUACGUUGACCUGGGUCCUGUUACACCAAUCUUUACAAUUUGGGGUUCUAACAAAUAUACAUUUCUUUACAGGCCAGAAUCUGAGGACUGUGGACAACAUCCAGACUAUUGUAUUUCCAUUCACCACACACGGCUGAUCUUCCAGACUAGAGUAACAGACAGUUCAGUCAGGCAGCAUACAGACAGUUUGUAGUGUGGCAAUGUGGAGCACUUGGACAGAGCCAUGAUACUGAGUUUCUGGAAGAAAUGCAACUGUUACUAACUGACACAGUGCUACACAAAUAAUCCCAUCCACUGUGUGGAUGAAUACCUGUACAUUGUUUUUGUUUUAUUCCCAGGAGGGUAGAGAAAAUACAAAGAUAUUUUUCCCUGUUCUGGAUAAUAUUUUAAUUCUUUUUUAAAUAAAAGAUUGAACAUUUUUUAAAAAGUAUUCACACCCCUUGGAUGUUUAACCCUUCUGUUUCUUUUACACAUGAAAUCAUGGCCAAUAUAAUUAUGCUUUUUUGACAAGAAUUUGCAAAAAAACCCUCUUUAAUAUCAAAGUGCAAACUGGGGCUGAUUGUUCUUAUGUUGUGUGUAUAUAUAAUGCUUUGGCAAUGUUGUUAUUACAUUCAUGCCAAUAAAGCUAAUUUGAAUUGAAUCUGAUUUUAAGAAUUGUCAUUGUUAACAAUGUUAAGAAUUUUUGCAGAAGUUCUAAUCUGAAGCUACAGUAAUGGUUAAAAACUUUUUUCCCCUGCAGUUUUUCCCUAGAAUACAUUGCGCUCAGGAGGGACUGUGUCCUCAGAAGCCUGUGUGUUUACCUCAGUGAGGACAGCAACAUUCUCAUCAAGGAGUGCUUGGAUGUCAACAGUGAGGAAGGUAAGAGAGAGACCAUACAGACCACCAUAGGGCUAAACAUGAUUUGCAGAAAAGGUGCUGAUGAAGAAGACAAGCCAGCGGAUGUUGGAGUGGUGGUCGAGGGUGUGGAACUGCUAAGUGAACUAGGAAGUAUUUCCUUUGGUUGUGACAUGCUGUUUGGCCUGAUCUACACUCUCAACCUGAACUAUCCACAAAUGUAAAUUUGAGUUCUUCCAGAAGGUUUUAAUGCACUUGGAUGGCUACAAACUGUCCCCAAAGGUGGAAACAUUAAAAUUAAGAUGCUUCAGUGAGCUCUUAAGUGCAAUGCUGGAAAGUUUGGCUAGCCACAUUUUGGCUUAAUGGACUUUACCAUUGUUCACGUGGUUUAAAAACACAAACACCAGAACAGCUUAUUGUUCUGAUUAUUUCUGGCAUCUUCUAUAGCCACUUUGUGUUAACUUGCUUAUUUUGCUGUUGGAGUGUUAUAGCAUUUGGACCACUCUUACAUUUUUGCACUUAGAUUGCAUACUGUUACACUAGAUAGAAAGAACCUUUUUUCCUGCAGGUAUUAAGGCCUUUUGCCCUUUUCAUGUUUCUCAUGUCUGACUUGUUCCCAUUCUGCAAAAAGUAUUCCUAGGACUGCGCACUUGACUAUGAAAUGUUUUACAUUGUGCUGCAUUCCUGUUUUAAAUGAUGCUGUAAUCCAGGUCCCGUCUUAAAACUGUAAGAUGUUCUUGGAGGGGAAUGUAUUUGUGUGUAUUGAGAUUGUAAAUGGAGAACAGCAUUAUAAUUUUUUUUCUAUGUGCCAGGAGGACCAUAUCCAAAUGUGGAAUCAUGUAACUUAAUGUUGUAUUGUUCAGACUUGUAUUUGACACUUCUAUGUUAUCAUCACUAUCAGUAUUUGAUAAAAGAGUCUUUUGAAUGGCAAUCUAUGUUUUUUUAAGAUUAUUUUAAAAUGUAUUUUAAGUUACCAUAGUAGAAAUACUUAUUCCAGUGGAAAUAAUUUAUUUUCUUUAUUUUUUAGCCUUUAUAGUUUAUUAUACACUGGAAAACCUUGUGCCCUUGGCCGUUGUUUUUUUGCAAUAGCAGGUCUUGCUGCUGUAAUGUUAAAAUUACUAUUGGACUACCAUUGUUGUAAUGACUUAUAAUAGAUAUGCC
Molecule: long non-coding RNA, 2300 nt
Organism: Micropterus dolomieu (smallmouth bass)
Lineage: Eukaryota; Metazoa; Chordata; Actinopteri; Centrarchiformes; Centrarchidae
Exons: 2
Source: RefSeq, a predicted model, not a curated record